GAUGAAGAAUGCAGCGAAAUGCGAUAAGUAAUGUGAAUUGCAGAAUUCAGUGAAUCAUCGAAUCUUUGAACGCACAUUGCGCCCGCCAGUAUUCUGGCGGGCAUGCCUGUCUGAGCGUCAUUUCAACCCUCAUGCCCCUAGGGCGUGGUGUUGGGGAUCGGCCAAAGCCCGCGAGGGACGGCCGGCCCCUAAAUCUAGUGGCGGACCCGUCGUGGCCUCCUCUGCGAAGUAGUGAUAUUCCGCAUCGGAGAGCGAUGAGCCCCUGCCGUUAAACCCCCAACUUUCCAAGGUUGACCUCAGAUCAGGUAGGAAUACCCGCUGAACUUAAGCAUAUCAAUAAGCGGAGGA
This 348-nucleotide unclassified non-coding RNA is filed under the name soil metagenome. Its description in RNAcentral is "partial contains 5.8S ribosomal RNA, internal transcribed spacer 2, and large subunit ribosomal RNA". The stretch from base 1 to 120 matches the Rfam family "5.8S ribosomal RNA", at positions 35 to 154 of the family's 154-position model. The record is from RNAcentral.